ACCGGAUGCCGUCGAAGUUGACGAGCGGAUGCAGCCGCUCGGCCUCGUCACGGCCGAUCUCGUAGAAGU
Molecule: small RNA, 69 nt
Filed under: Sinorhizobium meliloti 2011
Lineage: Bacteria; Pseudomonadati; Pseudomonadota; Alphaproteobacteria; Hyphomicrobiales; Rhizobiaceae
Description: putative ncRNA
Source: RNAcentral